CUGCAUGCUGCCAUCGUCCAUCGAUUAUCCAGUUUAUGAUUCUUGAAGAAGAAGGGACAACAUCUUGUACAGUGGAGAGAACGAAAAGCAACAGUUCUCUGAGCGUAAAUGACGAUCAUUUCUCACUUUUUAUUUUAUUUUUUCAUAUAUGGAAAAGUUGCUCUUCAAGGGAAUAAUCGUACGCCACGCACCAUCGAUAUAUCCAUGAUUGAAGACAAACUUUGUGGCGAAUUCAUUGUUUCACUUAUUGCUGCGGAAAAAGUUGACGAGCUAGCUAGCUAGCAGCAUGUAGUAUAGCUUGACACCGAUCGAAAAUGGGCGCAAGAAACAAAGAUAGGUAUAUAGAGCCGGUAGAUCGACCAAAUGCAUCCGUGCAUCUGCAUGCAUCUGCCUUUUCCCUUUUGCCUUUUUCUUGCUUGUCAGAUAUCAUAAGUGGCUCUUGCA
This 444-nucleotide long non-coding RNA is filed under the name Brachypodium distachyon (stiff brome). RNAcentral's name for it is "long non-coding RNA (BDIS_LNC000187)". The record is from RNAcentral. Lineage: Eukaryota; Viridiplantae; Streptophyta; Magnoliopsida; Poales; Poaceae.